This 482-nucleotide ribosomal RNA is filed under the name marine sediment bacterium ISA-3172. RNAcentral describes it as "bacterial SSU rRNA". It matches the Rfam family "Bacterial small subunit ribosomal RNA", at positions 60 to 535 of the family's 1533-position model. The record is from RNAcentral.
AGUCGAGCGCGAACGGUCCUUCGGGACUUAUUAUAGCGGCGGACGGGUGAGUAAUGCAUAGGUAAUCUGCCCAGCUAGUGGGGGAUAGCCCGGGGAAACCCGGAUUAAUACCGCAUACGUCCUACNGGAGAAAGCAGGGAGAUCUUCGGACCUUGCNCUAUUGGAUGAGCCUAUGUCGGAUUAGCUUGUUGGUAAGGUAACGGCUUACCAAGGCGACNAUCCNUANCUGGUCUGAGAGGAUGAUCAGCCACGCUGGGACUGAGACACGGCCCAGACUCCUACGGGAGGCAGCAGUGGGGAAUAUUGCACAAUGGGGGAAACCCUGAUGCAGCCAUGCCGCGUGUGUGAAGAAGGCCUUCGGGUUGUAAAGCACUUUCAGUANGGAGGAAGGCCUGUAAGUUAAUACCUUGCAGGAUUGACGUUACCUACAGAAGAAGCACCGGCUAACUCCGUGCCAGCAGCCGCGGUAAUACCGAGGGUGC